UUUUCAUCUGGGAGAUAUCCUGUCCCUUGGAUCAUUUUCUUUGUGCUCCUCUGGAUGCACCCUGGCAGGUCCAGCUGGCAUCCAGUCAUGAAUAGUGUUCCCCAGGAGUCGGUAUUGGAGCUUGCCGUUUCAUAUUUUUUUUCAUGAUCUGGAUGAGGGCACUGUGUGCACCCUCAUUAAGUUUGCAAAUUACACCCAGUUUGGAGGAAACAUUGAUAAGCGGGGGGUAGGAAGGCCUACAGAUGGAUCUGGAUGGGCUGGAUUGCUGGGCUGAGGCCAAUGGGAUGAAGUUCAGCAAGACCAAAUGCCAGAUCAUGCAUUUUGGCCACAACAACCCCAUGCAGUGCUACAGGCUUGGGGCAGAGUGGCUGGAAGGCUGUGCAGAGAAGGGUCUGGGAGUGUUGGUGGAUGCUUGGCUGAACACAAACCAUCAGCAUGCCUGGGUGCCCAAGAGGACUAGUGACAUCCUGGCUUGUAUCAGAAAUAGUGUAGCCAGAAGGAGCAGAGAAAUGAUUGUACUCCAGUACUCAGCUUUGGUGAGUCUGCAUCUUGAGUACUAUGUUCAGUUUUGGGCCCCUCACUACAAGAAAGACACAGAGGCCCUGGAGUGCAUCUAGAGAAGGGCAACAAAGCUGGUUAGAGUUCUAGAACACAACUCAUAAGAGGAGCAGCUGAGAGAACUGGAAUUGUUGAGUCUGGAGAAGAGGAGGCUCAGGGGAGACUUUAUCCCUUUCUACAACUCCCUGAAAGGAGCCUUUGGCAAACUGGAGGUUGGCCUCUCCUUCCAGUUGACCAACAAUAGGAUGAGAGGGAAUGUCCUCAAAUUGUGCCAGAAAUGAGGACAUAGUUCAGUGUGGGAGGUGACAUAGGUCUCUGCUACCAAACACUGGUACAGCUUCUGUCCACAUACACUCAGAGUGCAAAAGAACUCUGACCUCCAGCACUUGAGGAGUUAUCCUUCUUGGCAGGGAGGCAGCAGAGAGCUAUGUGACACCACUUUUCACAGAAGCUACAAAAGGUAAACCCUGUUGGGAACAGCAGCACAGCCUGUACUGCCAUCUGUUCACCUCUUAGGAGAGUCGCCCUGAGUUUGAUUUUCAGCUGCCAGCAGGCUGAGCAAUAGGAUGUGCUGGGGACACCACCACCUGCACCUGCUCCAGAGCCUGAAGCACCAGCUUAUGUGGUGAAGCCAUCUGGUGAAACUAAGAGCUGGAGACUGAAACCUCUGUGUGAUUAAAGGGUGAUGAGGGCUGAGUCUGUGUAGCUGUUUCUUGGCAGAGGCUCUCAUGGGAGGGUUGAAGCAUGGCUUAUUCAGCAGCAUGAGCCCCACCCCAGGUUUUUCAUUCAGCAUGAUAGUUCUCUCUUCAGAGAACUGAACCUCCAUUUCUCUUUACUGCUACCUUCCCAAGCCACUUCCUUUUGCCUCAGGAAACUACUGCUGUGCUCUCCCUUGACUCUUCACCUGCAACAUCCCAGGCUGGCAGAGCAGGGUGUUCAGACCCUUGAAGAAAAGGUCCUGAUCCCACAGCGCAGCACCAGGCUCCUGCUGAGAUGAGUGCAGGCAGAGCAUGGCAAGGCUGGGGAAAUGCAGCUCAGACCAGGUCCAGGUGGACAGGUUUUCUGCUCAGGUUGGUUCCACUAGAGGAGCAGGGGCAGGCUCCCUGUUAUCAUUCACCAGGCAGGAAGAACAGAUGUUUAUGACUGUGUCUUGAGCACAGGGCAAUCACAAAGGCCACCAGGAGGGUAAAGAGGCCAGUGAAGGGGACAGCCAGUAUCUGCAGCUCGGCUACCAGGGUGCUGCAGGAGUGAUGGAUUGCUUGGAUUCUUCAAGACCAUAAAUGCUUCCCAGCAGGGCCAGCCUCCUGGGGAGGGCAGCUGAUUAUUUUUGUCUUUUAAAUGAUUUACUGCUGAUAACACAACCAAGCUUUAAGUUUUUGAUGGUGGACGAUGGCCGAACCCCCAGCAAACAAUGAAGCAUGGCUACACCCUCACUGCAGCAUGCCGGGUCAUGCUUGUGAAGCCUGGUGUGCUCUGUAGGGUUUUGCAGGAAACAUAACUCUGUGCAGAGCAGCGUGGAUACAGCCCCUGUCACUCUGGUAUUUCAGCCCUUGCCUAACUGUGCUGUUAUUUUUAGAUAGAAAAUUACAGACAUGAUUAUUCCUUUUGAAGCCAGAAGAUAAGUGUCUAGGGCCAGUCCCAGGGUUACCUACUAGUUGGAUACUAACCAGGCACUUCCAUUAAUUUGAGUCUGUGCAUUCUUCCCAUAACCAUGUGCAAAACACAGCUCCAUUAAAAGAUGUAUUUAAUCAGAUGGAUAUUCUGCCAGCACUUGCACAUGCUGAUAUGAUCUGAAGUGUUGAUGAAAGUAGUUGGGUUUUUUUUGGUGUGUUUUCCAUUAAAGGGCAUGAGAUGUGGUAGACAUAAUGCCACUGCUCUCCACAGUCACUGUAAUUAAUGACAGAGAAAACUGAUUUCAUUUAUGAAGUCACUCGAGAUCCUUGGAUGAAAUGGUGAGUAAGUGCUUAUUAUUUGUCUUCACUAUUCAAUAUUAAUGCACGCUCAUUUAAACUCUUCCUGUACCAUCUGCCUCACAUACUGGAAUUUCUGACUGAAAGGUAGAAGUCUAAACAAAUGAAAAGCUCUUAGAAAAAUGCUUCUACCUCACCCCAACAUAACAUGAAAAUUAACUAUUAGUAACAAGCCUGUUUUUCCUUUUGACCAGUAAUCUCUUGCCACAGGAGUCACUGUUAAUGAAUCUACUCUAAUGGAUUUGCUACAGCACUAGCACAUUUGUGAUGAUUACCGAGCAAGCAAAGUUGUAAAUAAACAAUACUUUGUAAGGUUGGAAUUUCCACGUUCCUGACUGUUACAGCCCCUUCUGGGCCUCAGCUUUAGGCAACUAUAAAACAGACAGUAUCUUGUGCCAUGUCAUGUGUACAAGAAGCGUAAAUCAAUUUAAAGAGUAUGACUCAAAAGCCCAGUAAAUCUGUGUAGGGGCUGCUGUUAUCUUGCUCGUAUAUUUAAAGAACUCAGUGCUUUUAAGCAGCAGGCAGAAUGAAUGUUUGGCUUCCCCCCCCCCUUAUAGCCUGUAAGUUAGUGUGAAAGAAACUUUUACUAUAUCUGCAUGUUUAAGAUCUUCCUUCAGGCUAUUUGGGAAAUCCCAAAACUAGUUAUAACUACACAUUGCAUUUGCAGUGGAAAAGUCCUUGCUUUCAUCCGGGUAGCUGUCUAAUAGUGAAGGAAGAAUAGAAGUGUGGUAAAGUUCUUUAUUUCAGGUUGCAUAAAAAUACAGAAGCUCUCCAUUAAAAAAUCAGAGGUAAGUUCACUCUCUCUGACUCCAAGAGAAAACAAUGGGUUACCACUUAAAACUGCUUGCAUGCUUAAAAGUAGACAUGUGUACUUUGAAAAUAAAAAAAAAAUAAAGUUUAAGUGAUAAAUAAGCAACAGGUCCAAGCAAGUGCAUUGACUUGCCUGAAGUAAGUACUCCUCCACUGUAACACACGCAUACUGUGAGGAGCACAGUCACAGUUCGUACUUUGUAUGUUUAUGUGUUUGAAUCGCCUUAUGCCUCACCCCUCAAAUAAAACACAGUGGAAAACAUAACCUACAGUGAUGUGAAAACUCAGCAGAGAUGGAGACAACAACCAGAAAGCUCUGCAGUCCAUGGGCUUUGCACUACCCUCGAGGUACCUCAAUGAUUUUACAGUUAUGAGAUAUACAUAGUAGUAAUGUCUGAUCCAAUACAUUUCUACACUGAUAAAACAUAAGUAGUGUAUGACAGGCUUUGUUUUUGUGUUUUUCUUUUUUUUUUGCUAUAAAAGUCACAUUAAAACGUCUCCAACUGCAAACAAAUAAAUACGUGUGCAUAUAUACAUAGUGCCAAAUGUUACAGUACUUUCUCUUACCAGAGACUUAAUAGAAAGAAAAGUAAUGUCAAGUGUUGCAAAAUUACAGGGAGCUUUUCUAUUUUCCUGUUAGAGCUACUCACAGCUGCCAUGACACAGCACUGCAGAGGCCACAGCAGUUCUGAGGCUGGAAUCAUCGCAACUGCAAAAACAUGCACUGGGCCUCAUUCCUCUACUUGUAUCUGUGGACUCACAGAUAGAAAUAAAAUUCAAUUAAUAGCACUUAUAAAUCAGAUCCAGCAGAUUCCUAAGGGACAUAAACCUUGCUAGCAGAAGCCAUUGAUUUGAUCUCUGUCCCUAAAGCUGAAAGUUGUUUCUAGUGCAUUAUUAAAUGACCAAUAAAGAGUCAGUGAAAAAUC
Molecule: non-coding RNA, 4264 nt
Organism: Coturnix japonica (Japanese quail)
Lineage: Eukaryota; Metazoa; Chordata; Aves; Galliformes; Phasianidae
Source: RefSeq, a predicted model, not a curated record